This 520-nucleotide ribosomal RNA is filed under the name Pseudolactococcus laudensis. Its description in RNAcentral is "Lactococcus laudensis partial 16S ribosomal RNA". Lineage: Bacteria; Bacillati; Bacillota; Bacilli; Lactobacillales; Streptococcaceae. The record is from RNAcentral.
GAGCGUUGUCCGGAUUUAUUGGGGGUAAAGCGMGCGCAGGUGGUUUAAUAAGUCUGAUGUAAAAKGCAGUGGCUCAACCAUUGUGUGCAUUGGAAACUGUUAGACUUGAGUGCAGUAGAGGAGAGUGGAACUYCAUGUGUAGCGGUGAAAUGCGUAGAUAUAUGGAGGAACACCGGUGGCGAAAGCGGKUCUCUGGACUGUCACUGACACUGAGGCUCGAAAGCGUGGGUAGCAAACAGGAUUAGAUACCCCUGGUAGUYCCGCCGUAAACGGUGAGUGCUAGCUGUUCGGGGCUACUCCGCCSUAAGUGACGCAGCAAACGCAUUAAGCASUCCGCCUGGGGAGUACGACCGCAAGGUUGAAACUCAAAGGAAUUGACGGGGGCCCGCACAAGCGGUGGAGCAUGUGGUUUAAUUCGAAGCAACGCGAAGAACCUUACCAGGUCUUGACAUACUCGURCUAUUCCUAGAGAUASGAAGUUCCUUCGGGACACGGGAKACAGGUGGUGCAUGGYGUCGUC